Small nuclear RNA from Dipodomys ordii (Ord's kangaroo rat), 90 nucleotides. Lineage: Eukaryota; Metazoa; Chordata; Mammalia; Rodentia; Heteromyidae. The record is from Ensembl.
GUUCUCACUUCAGCCGCACAUAUACUAAAAUUGGAAUAAUGUAGAGAAGAUUAGCAUGUCAUGCAAAUUCAUGAAGCAUUCCAUAUUUUU